GAUGAACGCUGGCGGUAUGCCUAACACAUGCAAGUCGAACGGGCUUUUCGGAGCUAGUGGCGGACGGGUGAGUAACGCGUGAGAAUCUGCCUUCAGGAUGGGGAUAACAGGGAGAAAUCGCUGCUAAAACCCAAUGUGCCGAAAGGUGAAAUACUUGUAGCCAGAAGAGGAGCUCGCGUCCGAUUAGUUAGUUGGUGGGGUAAGAGCCUACCAAGGCAGCGAUCGGUAGCUGGUCUGAGAGGAUGAGCAGCCGCACUGGGACUGAGACACGGCCCAGACUCCUACGGGAGGCAGCAGUGGGGAAUUUUCCGCAAUGGGCGAAAGCCUGACGGAGCAAUACCGCAUGAGGGAGGAAGGCUUUUGGGUUGUAAACCUCUUUUGUUAAGGAAGAAGAAAGUGACGGUACUUAAAGAAUAAGCAUCGGCUAACUCCGUGCCAGCAGCCGCCGUAA
Molecule: ribosomal RNA, 451 nt
Filed under: uncultured bacterium
Lineage: Bacteria
Description: partial 16S ribosomal RNA
Rfam family: Bacterial small subunit ribosomal RNA
Source: RNAcentral